Molecule: ribosomal RNA, 1288 nt
Filed under: Staphylococcus aureus
Lineage: Bacteria; Bacillati; Bacillota; Bacilli; Caryophanales; Staphylococcaceae
Description: partial 23S ribosomal RNA
Rfam family: Bacterial large subunit ribosomal RNA
Source: RNAcentral
UGUUCGAAAGGGAAACAGCCCAGACCACCAGCUAAGGUCCCAAAAUAUAUGUUAAGUGGAAAAGGAUGUGGCGUUGCCCAGACAACUAGGAUGUUGGCUUAGAAGCAGCCAUCAUUUAAAGAGUGCGUAAUAGCUCACUAGUCGAGUGACACUGCGCCGAAAAUGUACCGGGGCUAAACAUAUUACCGAAGCUGUGGAUUGUCCUUUGGACAAUGGUAGGAGAGCGUUCUAAGGGCGUUGAAGCAUGAUCGCAAGGACAUGUGGAGCGCUUAGAAGUGAGAAUGCCGGUGUGAGUAGCGAAAGACGGGUGAGAAUCCCGUCCACCGAUUGACUAAGGUUUCCAGAGGAAGGCUCGUCCGCUCUGGGUUAGUCGGGUCCUAAGCUGAGGCCGACAGGCGUAGGCGAUGGAUAACAGGUUGAUAUUCCUGUACCACCUAUAAUCGUUUUAAUCGAUGGGGGGACGCAGUAGGAUAGGCGAAGCGUGCGAUUGGAUUGCACGUCUAAGCAGUAAGGCUGAGUAUUAGGCAAAUCCGGUACUCGUUAAGGCUGAGCUGUGAUGGGGAGAAGACAUUGUGUCUUCGAGUCGUUGAUUUCACACUGCCGAGAAAAGCCUCUAGAUAGAAAAUAGGUGCCCGUACCGCAAACCGACACAGGUAGUCAAGAUGAGAAUUCUAAGGUGAGCGAGCGAACUCUCGUUAAGGAACUCGGCAAAAUGACCCCGUAACUUCGGGAGAAGGGGUGCUCUUUAGGGUUAACGCCCAGAAGAGCCGCAGUGAAUAGGCCCAAGCGACUGUUUAUCAAAAACACAGGUCUCUGCUAAACCGUAAGGUGAUGUAUAGGGGCUGACGCCUGCCCGGUGCUGGAAGGUUAAGAGGAGUGGUUAGCUUCUGCGAAGCUACGAAUCGAAGCCCCAGUAAACGGCGGCCGUAACUAUAACGGUCCUAAGGUAGCGAAAUUCCUUGUCGGGUAAGUUCCGACCCGCACGAAAGGCGUAACGAUUUGGGCACUGUCUCAACGAGAGACUCGGUGAAAUCAUAGUACCUGUGAAGAUGCAGGUUACCCGCGACAGGACGGAAAGACCCCGUGGAGCUUUACUGUAGCCUGAUAUUGAAAUUCGGCACAGCUUGUACAGGAUAGGUAGGAGCCUUUGAAACGUGAGCGCUAGCUUACGUGGAGGCGCUGGUGGGAUACUACCCUAGCUGUGUUGGCUUUCUAACCCGCACCACUUAUCGUGGUGGGAGACAGUGUCAGGCGGGCAGUUUGACUGGGGCGGUCGCCUCCUAAAAGG